This 1234-nucleotide long non-coding RNA is filed under the name Oncorhynchus mykiss (rainbow trout). Its description in RNAcentral is "lncRNA (ENSOMYG00000070696.1)". The record is from RNAcentral. Lineage: Eukaryota; Metazoa; Chordata; Actinopteri; Salmoniformes; Salmonidae.
UAUAUCAACACAAGAGUUGCGUUCUAGUCACAUACAGACAUAUAACGGAACCAGGGACGCAUGUAAGGAGUUAAACUUUAAAAGGUCUAGAGAGUAUGGAGUUCAACUUUAAAAGGUCUAGAGAGUAAGACAAAAGGAGACAGAGAGAGAGUCACAGGGUGACUGAAUGAACAUAAUCGAUAACGUAUCAGUCUUCACUGACAACAGUAGAGUUGCCCACAAACCACUAGCCUAAACAUGUCGGACCUGACCUACGGAGAGCAGACUAACAGGAAUAAACUGACUCAUCACAACAUGAGCGGAGAUGAACUUGUUUUCUUUGUCAAUGGAAAAAAAAGAUAACAGAGAAACAUGCUGAUCCAGAGAUGACACUGCUGACAUACCUCAGGAGAAAGUGUAUCCUGAAAUACCUCUCACACACAGCCCCGGGAAGUAGGGUGUUGAGGGUGCUGAUUUAAUACCAUAGACACAGGAAGUAGGGGUGCUGAGGGUGCUGAUUUAAUACCAUAGACACAGGAAGAAGGGUUGUUGAGGGUGCUGACUUAAUACCAUACCCACAGGAAGUAGGGGUGUUGAGGGUGCUGAUUUAAUACCAUAGCCACAGGAAGUAGGGGUGUUGAGGAUGCUGAUUUAAAACCAUAGCCACAGGAAGUAGGGGUGUUGAGGGUGCUGAUUUAAUACCAUACCCACAGGAAGUAGGGGUGUUGAGGGUGCUGAUUUAAAACCAUAGCCACAGGAAGUAGGGGGGUUGAGGGUGCUGAUUUAAUACCAUAGCCACAGGAAGUAGGGGGGUUGAGGGUGCUGAUUUAAUACCAUAGCCACAGGAUGUAGGGGUGUUGAGGGUGCUGAUUUAAAACCAUAGCCACAGGAAGUAGGGAUAUUGAGGGUGCUGAUUUAAUACCAUAGCCACAGGAAGUAGGGGUGUUGAGGGUGCUGAUUUAAAACCAUAGCCACAGGAAGUAGGGAUAUUGAGGGUGCUGAUUUAAUACCAUAGCCACAGGAAGUAGGGGUGUUGAGGGUGCUGAUUUAAUACCAUAGCCACAGGAUGUAGGGGUGUUGAGGGUGCUGAUUUAAUACCAUAGCCACAGGAAGUAGGGGUGUUGAGGGUGCUGAUUUAAUACCAUAGCCACAGGAAGUAGGGGUGCUGAGAGGUGCUGAUUUAAUACCAUAGCCACAGGAAGUAGGGUGCUGAGGGUGCUGAUUUAAUACCAUGGCCACAGGAAGUAGUGGUGUU